UGGGGAAUCUUGCACAAUAGGGGAAACCCUGAUGCAGCGACGCCGCGUGAACGAUGAAGCCCUUCGGGGUGUAAAGUUCUUUCGACAGGAACGAUAAUGACGGUACCUGGAGAAGAAGCUGCGGCUAACUACGUGCCAGCAGCCGCGGUAAUACGUAGGCAGCGGGCGUUGUUCGGAGUUACUGGGCGUAAAGAGUGCGUAGGCGGCGAGCCAAGUUUGGUGUGAAAUCUCCCGGCUUAACCGGGAGGGUGCGCCGAAAACUGGUUGGCUGGAGUAUGGGAGAGGAAAGCGGAAUUCCUGGUGUAGCGGUGAAAUGCGUAGAUAUCAGGAGGAACACCUGCGGUGUAGACAGCUUUCUGGACCAAAACUGACGCUGAGGCACGAAAGCGUGGG
RNAcentral lists this ribosomal RNA (393 nucleotides) under uncultured bacterium. RNAcentral describes it as "bacterial SSU rRNA". It matches the Rfam family "Bacterial small subunit ribosomal RNA", at positions 355 to 765 of the family's 1533-position model. The record is from RNAcentral.